Glarea lozoyensis 74030 is the source of this 127-nucleotide small nuclear RNA. It matches the Rfam family "U4 spliceosomal RNA". Rfam says of the family: U4 small nuclear RNA (U4 snRNA) is a component of the major U2-dependent spliceosome. The structure of U4 snRNA from yeast and human has been reported. U4 snRNA presents a k-turn RNA motif in the 5p-SL related to recognition of Snu13 protein. NCBI's taxonomy places the organism in Eukaryota, Fungi, Ascomycota, Leotiomycetes, Helotiales, Helotiaceae. The record is from Rfam.
AUUUUUAGGGGCUUUACGAAUAACAGUGAGGAGAUAAUCCGAGUUUUCGUUUUUGCUAGUUGAAAACUAUACCAUGACCGCUCCUGUCUGGCUCCGGUCGGACAGGGAAUUUUUGGAGCAAACCUCU